Molecule: long non-coding RNA, 1331 nt
Organism: Bos taurus (domestic cattle)
Lineage: Eukaryota; Metazoa; Chordata; Mammalia; Artiodactyla; Bovidae
Source: Ensembl
UUUCAAAAUGGUCACAGCUGGCAUCAGAUGAAUCAGCAACUGCAUCUUGUGUCCCUGAAGUUAGGAGCCCAUGACCUUCUUUUGGAAAUGCAGAAUGCCACAAGAGAGUGCAGGGGGAAAAGAGUGCCUGGUGCCGAGUGUCAUCUAUAUGGGUCAGAGAGUACUUAGCUUUGUGAAGGACAAGUCCAGCUGCAAGUGUUUGUUAGUAACAGCUAAAGAAUAACCAAGAUUGCAUAACUCUUGUAGGCCUUUUUGGCUGUUACAUGCCAAAGGCUGUUCACUCAUUUGUGUUUUUGCUACAACAAAUUCCUCCAUGUUAGUGACUCCCUCCAUAUAAUGGAGGAAAGGAAACAGGCAUUGUUCUUGUCUGGCUGAAAACCAAAUUUUCAGUUUUGCUCCUCUUGAGAAACAUCAGCUGCGUGCUCCAGGCAAAUUCCUAAGGCUCUAUGUUAAGAUGUACUGGAAGGAGCCUCAGAAAAAAAUGAAAACAGUUGAUAUCAGGAUGUUGGAAUUACAGCUGACCUUUGAACAACAUGGGUUUGAACUGCAUGGAUUGACUGUACAUGGAAUUUUUUCAAUAGCGAGCGGGAGGUCUUCCACGAGAAAGCAGGCGAGGCAGGCUGGGCCGCCAGGCUGGGCUCAUGAACGGACCAGGAGGAAUGUCACCCGGCUGCCCCAAGGCCACGAGGGUCCUGAGGCGUAACUGGUGCGAGAGUGAAAAAGAAAAAAGGCCAAGACCAGGAGAGGACAAAGCCGAUGCGCUCAUUAGGAGAGAGAGGGACGCUCGCUGCCACUGUGGAUGUGUAACUCCCAGACAGCAAAGACCAAAAGCUGUCUUGGGCUGAGGCAGCCUUGGGAACGAGAAACAGUGUUGCUGGGGGUCAGAUGGGGGACACACAGCCUAAAAUUAAGCGGAGUCAACUGCCACACAUCCCCUCACUGAAUCCAGAAAGUCGAACCCUUAUUGUAACUGAACACUAAAAAUCGUUAAACCUCUUUCGGUUGAUCGAUUUGUCCCCUGAAGCCAAUUUAUACUAUGGUAAUUCCAUCGCCGGCCCUGAAUGGGGCUCUGAGCAAUUACCACCUGACCUGCUGACCUCCGCUAACAAGGUAUUCACGGCUCCAGAUAUUUCCAGCCAGUUUAGCCCAACUGUUCUUCUUUCUCCAGGCGUAACUGUCAGCCAGGCUAUGGGAGGAAAACACCCUACUCCCUUGAUAUUAAGAAAUACAAAAGGGAGGACUUCCCUGGUGGUCCAGUGGUUAAGACUUUGCCUUCCAAUGCACUGGGUGCAGGUUCGAUCCCUGGUUGGGAAGCUCAGAUCCCACAUGCC